Anopheles nili is the source of this 388-nucleotide long non-coding RNA. RefSeq lists it as uncharacterized. Lineage: Eukaryota; Metazoa; Arthropoda; Insecta; Diptera; Culicidae. The transcript has 3 exons. The record is from RefSeq and is a predicted model, not a curated record.
CGUAAGCCCAACCCGUGGUCGUUCAGCUGCGGUGCGUUUGCAUAAAACAUUUACAACUGAAACGACGAAAAGCAACACCAAAUGCCGAUGAUGACGAAAACUCUGAUGGAUAGUACCCGUGGACGGGCGGCGGAAAAGCGGAAUGAGAAAAAAAAGAACGAGGACGAAACAAAGCACAUAAAAAAAAAUAAAAACAGCCCUUCGUGACACGGUUCCCAGCCCGGAAGUGCAGUCGCGCGUGUGGAUGCACCAAUUGCGGUGCUAAUUAUUCCGGAACGACAGCACGUAAGCAGGAAAACAAGACUCCCUAGUUUGUGAUCUGUCAAAACGAACAAAAACUCACUAGCAUAGCUUACUGUGACGAGAUUCAGCUGUCAAACAUGCUUCC